GAUUUCCGCUGUCAGAAUUACGAGACUGUCGACCAUGCUCGAGAUAUGCGUGCCGUGAGCGGGAGUGUGAUGUGACCGAUGUUUUGACCCUCCGACCGAGCGGUCUGACUGCGUAUCAAAUCAUGCAGCCCUUUUAUUCCACGCAAAUCUAGAGUGCGGUCUUCAUUCUCGUAGUUGAGACAGGUGAGAAUC
Molecule: non-coding RNA, 192 nt
Organism: Marchantia polymorpha subsp. ruderalis
Lineage: Eukaryota; Viridiplantae; Streptophyta; Marchantiopsida; Marchantiales; Marchantiaceae
Source: the annotation of a GenBank genome assembly